Molecule: unclassified non-coding RNA, 307 nt
Filed under: plant metagenome
Description: partial contains 5.8S ribosomal RNA, internal transcribed spacer 2, and large subunit ribosomal RNA
Rfam family: 5.8S ribosomal RNA (bases 1-105)
Source: RNAcentral
GAAAUGCGAUAAGUAGUGUGAAUUGCAGAAUUCAGUGAAUCAUCGAAUCUUUGAACGCACAUUGCGCCCUUUGGUAUUCCAAAGGGCAUGCCUGUUCGAUCGUCAUUUGUACCCUCAAGCUUUGCUUGGUGUUGGGCGUCUUGUCUCUAGCUUUGCUGGAGACUCGCCUUAAAGUAAUUGGCAGCCGGCCUACUGGUUUCGGAGCGCAGCACAAGUCGCACUCUCUAUCAGCAAAGGUCUAGCAUCCAUUAAGCCUUUUUUCAACUUUUGACCUCGGAUCAGGUAGGGAUACCCGCUGAACUUAAGC